CUUGGUCAUUUAGAGGAAGUAAAAGUCGUAACAAGGUCUCCGUUGGUGAACCAGCGGAGGGAUCAUUGCUGGAACGCGCCCCAGGCGCACCCAGAAACCCUUUGUGAACUUAUACCUUACUGUUGCCUCGGCGCAUGCUGGUCUCUAGUAGGCCCCUCACCCCGGUGAGGAGACGGCACGCCGGCGGCCAAGUUAACUCUUGUUUUUACACUGAAACUCUGAGAAAAAACACAAAUGAAUCAAAACUUUCGACAACGGAUCUCUUGGUUCUGGCAUCGAUGAAGAACGCAGCGAAAUGCGAUAAGUAAUGUGAAUUGCAGAAUUCAGUGAAUCAUCGAAUCUUUGAACGCACAUUGCGCCCUCUGGUAUUCCGGAGGGCAUGCCUGUUCGAGCGUCAUUUCAACCCUCAAGCAUUGCUUGGUGUUGGGGCACUGCUUCUAACGAAGCAGGCCCUGAAAUCUAGUGGCGAGCUCGCCAGGACCCCGAGCGUAGUAGUUAAACCCUCGCUCUGGAAGGCCCUGGCGGUGCCCUGCCGUUAAACCCCCAACUUCUGAAAAUUUGACCUCGGAUCAGGUAGGAAUACCCGCUGAACUUAAGCAUAUCAAUAAGCGGAGGA
RNAcentral lists this ribosomal RNA (616 nucleotides) under fungal endophyte sp. g97. Its description in RNAcentral is "eukaryotic LSU rRNA". The stretch from base 244 to 397 matches the Rfam family "5.8S ribosomal RNA". Lineage: Eukaryota; Fungi. The record is from RNAcentral.